AGCGAACGCUGGCGGCAGGCUUAACACAUGCAAGUCGAGCGGGCACUUUCGGGUGUCAGCGGCGGACGGGUGAGUAACGCGUGGGAACGUGCCCUCUGGUUCGGAAUAACUCAGGGAAACUUGAGCUAAUACCGGAUACGCCCUUUUGGGGAAAGGCUUGCUGCCGGAGGAUCGGCCCGCGUCUGAUUAGCUAGUUGGUGAGGUAACGGCUCACCAAGGCGACGAUCAGUAGCUGGUCUGAGAGGAUGAUCAGCCACACUAGGACUGAGACACGGCCCAGACUCCUACGGGAGGCAGCAGUGGGGAAUAUUGGACAAUGGGCGCAAGCCUGAUCCAGCCAUGCCGCGUGAGUGAUGAAGGCCUUAGGGUUGUAAAGCUCUUUUAUCCGGGACGAUAAUGACGGUACCGGAGGAAUAAGCCCCGGCUAACUUCGUG
RNAcentral lists this ribosomal RNA (435 nucleotides) under uncultured bacterium. Its description in RNAcentral is "partial 16S ribosomal RNA". It matches the Rfam family "Bacterial small subunit ribosomal RNA", at positions 29 to 507 of the family's 1533-position model. The record is from RNAcentral.